CACUUUGUCUUUAUGGCAAAUGUGAGAUGCAGUGUAUGGAGUGUCGAAUACCUAGUAUGAGAAAUUAACGAUUUAAGUCCUUCUUAAAUGAGGCCAUUUACCCAAAGAGGGUGCCAGGCCCGUAUAACGUUAAUGAUUACUAGACGGCAUUUCCAAAGAGUCGUGUUGCUUGAUAGUGCAGCACUAAGUGGGUGGUAAACUCCAUCUAAAACUAAAUAUAACCAUGAGACCGAUAGUAAACAAGUACCGUGAGGGAAAGUUGAAAAGAACUCUGAAUAGAGAGUUAAAUAGUACGUGAAACUGCUUAGAGGUUAAGCCCGAUGAACCUGAAUAUCCAUUAUAGAAAAUUCAUCAUUAUGAUUUUAAUAUUUGUAAUAUUAUAAUAAUGGUGUGCAUUUUUUCUAUAUAAGGACAUUGUAAUCUAUUAACAUUAUAAAUAUUUAUCAAAAGAUCAUUUGCGAAGGUUUAAUCAAAUUAUUUUGCUUGCAAUUUAACAUAGGUUAAAUGCUUAUGAUUUGAUAAAGUGUUGAUAGAUUUAUUAUAUAUAGUGCUUGAAUAUUUAUAUUCUAUAAUAGCAUAUUAAUUUAUAAUUUUUAUGUUUAUUAUAUGCACUUAUAUGAUUAACAAUGCGAAAGAUUCAGGAUACCUUCGGGACCCGUCUUGAAACACGGACCAAGGAGUCUAACAUAUUUGCAAGUUAUUGGGAAUUAAAACCUAAUAGCGAAAUAAACAUAACUUUAAUAUAAUGGGAUUAGUUUUUAGCCUAUUUAUAGUCUAUUAAUUCAAUCCCGGGGCGUUCUAUAUGGUUAUGUAUAAUAGUAUUUAUAUUAUUUAUACCUCUAACCAGAACGUACCUUGAGCAUAUAUGCUGUGACCCGAAAGAUGGUGAACUAUACUUGAUCAGGUUGAAGUCAGGGGAAACCCUGAUGGAAGACCGAAACAGUUCUGACGUGCAAAUCGAUUGUCAGAAUUGCAGUAUAGG
This 982-nucleotide ribosomal RNA is filed under the name Exorista mella. Its description in RNAcentral is "eukaryotic LSU rRNA". It matches the Rfam family "Eukaryotic large subunit ribosomal RNA", at positions 120 to 921 of the family's 3401-position model. The record is from RNAcentral. Lineage: Eukaryota; Metazoa; Arthropoda; Insecta; Diptera; Tachinidae.